RNAcentral lists this ribosomal RNA (368 nucleotides) under uncultured organism. RNAcentral's name for it is "bacterial SSU rRNA". It matches the Rfam family "Bacterial small subunit ribosomal RNA", at positions 526 to 896 of the family's 1533-position model. The record is from RNAcentral.
CGGAGGGUGCAAGCGUUAUCCGGAUUCACUGGGUUUAAAGGGUGCGUAGGUGGGCAAGUAAGUCAGUGGUGAAAUCUCCGGGCUUAACCCGGAAACUGCCAUUGAUACUACUUGUCUUGAAUACUGUGGAGGUCAGCGGAAUAUGUCAUGUAGCGGUGAAAUGCUUAGAUAUGACAUAGAACACCAAUUGCGAAGGCAGCUGGCUACACAAACAUUGACACUGAGGCACGAAAGCGUGGGGAUCAAACAGGAUUAGAUACCCUGGUAGUCCACGCCCUAAACUAUGGAUACUCGACAUUUGCGAUAAACUGCAAGUGUCUGAGCGAAAGCAUUAAGUAUCCCACCUGGGAAGUACGAUCGCAAGAUUG